UCGGGACUGGUCGCCCACACGCUGCCCUGCCUGGCGCUGGCGCUGGCUGCGUUAUUUUGUCCGAGAGCGCUUUGGAAAAAAAAUCCACUGAGGGCAAGUCACUCAGUCAGUGUGUGCGCGCGUGUGCGCGCGCGCGCGGCAGUUUGUGUCUGCGUGCGUGAAUCGAUGAGAUACGCGCUUGAUUGGGUCUCCCUUGUUGUAAUAAUGUACAUGAGGAGGAGGAGGAGGAGGAGGAGGAGGGGACGGCUCGGGCUGCUCCCGUGCGUGCAGGCUGGCUCGAGCGCACGGAUAAGCCCAGCGCCGGCGCCCACUGACAAACACUUUCUUGGCCGCCGAUGGUACUUUUCUCCCGUUUUUUUCCCCCCUCUCUUCUUUGCGUGGCCUGAUAGGAGCUACUUAAAACAGCCACGCAGAGUCAGACGUGUCUCCCAACACUGUGCUCCGCGCUCCUUCCUGCGCCUCAAGUGACCGAGGAGGCGCACAAUCUCCACCAAGCGCUGCCAAUUUCAGUGUCACUCAGUGGAUUAAAGUACUUUUUUUUCUUUACAGACAAUCCUCGACGUGAAACGCGAUGAUGAGCGCAGCCUACGGGAUUCUUGGAGAGGGAACGGGGCGACAAGGGAGGGCAGUGUGGGUGAGUUGCCAAAGGCAGUCUUUCUUCCUCCUCCAGUCUUCUCCUGCGCCAGAUGUGGCGCGGUCGCGCUGCGUCUCUCACGCUCGUCGAACGCCCGAGAAGCAGCUUCCACCGAGGGGAGCAGAUGUCCUUAUCCUUCCUCCUAGACCGUGUCGAUCCCGCGGCAGAGCGACGAGUCUGUCAGGUCACCGGGCUCGGUGGAAGAACGAUUGGUUGAUUGGUGGUGAGUCUCCGCCGAUCGAGGAUGUUUUCGCCCUAAUCUCACCGCGACUGUGUGCGCCGCUCCACCACUGCAUGCUGUUAGAUCCGCCCAAGCAUCUGUCCGUCUUUCCAUUGGCGCAUCCAUCAGUGUCACACACACACACACACACACACACACACACACACACACACACACACACACACACACACACACACUCUCGUGUUCACAUUCCUUGCGAUACUACAACUCCCCCGCCCACCCCACAGUGUACACUCAAACAUAAUGCACACACACACACACACACACACACACACACACACACACACACACACACACACACACACACACACACACUUACGUGCUCGCGGACGGCGGAGAGCUUUCCUAUCCAUCUGACUGACUCAGUCCACUUUCCUAAAAGCACGUCAGCGAGCGCGCUGCCUUUUUGUUUGGCAUUUCCACUCCGAGUGAUUUUUUUUACUUCUCCAGUAUCAUCGCUUUAUUCUUCUUCCCAAAUAUCUACAAGAAGAGAAAGAAGCUCUGGGUCUGGAAAUAUUUAUUUUACAUUUUGUAGCCAUUUCUAAAACGCCAUGAAGUGUAUAUCAGAGACUUCGUUGUUUUUCCCUGUAGAAAAACCUCGAACUAAUUUGACUAUGAAUUAGUUUAAUUUGUUCGUCUUUACUGAACCGGGAGCAGACACACAGGGCAAACGAUCCGUGUGUCGGCAGCAAGUACGUGGGAUAUACAUAUAUAUCAAAAUAGAAAAGUAAAUGUUUUUACCAUUAGAUAUCAAUAUUUUACAUUUAGAUUCCUUUUUUGAACUUUUGAACUUUCUGAUGACAUAUAGACUAACUGCACUGUAGAGAGAAAUGUUACAUUUAGGAGAAUAAUCUCUCUAUCUUUUGCCCUUUUCCACUAAUGUUCACUGAAAGUGUCCCGAACCAGGCACAUUGCGUUCUCUAAUUGUGAUAAAGAUAUACGACUGUACACCUACUUUGUAGGUCUGUGUCUGGAGAAGAGACGACGGGAGAGAUUGAAGUUGCAGGGGGUUGAUUUAUGCAGCCGCCAAGCACAUAAUUGUGAAACUAAAAUGUAUUAGCACAGAAUAUUUAUUUGCGGUAAAGUCGUGUAAUCCUUUUACAAGCGUAAAACAAGUUCCAGUCCGAGCUACAGUUUGGUGUAAGUCUUUAAGUCUAACUGCAAAGUGAGAGUCACUCGGUGCGCACUUUUACGCACGAAGCUGAGGGUGAAUGCAGCAUAAACAUAUGCGAUGUGUGAAAUAAAUUUAAUAUACUUAAGUAUAAGAGCUGAGACGCACGCACACGUGCGUUUCCUUAAAAAACAGCAGUGUGAAUAACAACGAUUACGAAGUUACUUAUUAGUUCAAAAGUUCACGAGGGCGCGAGUCUGGCUCUUCUUUCCAUUCUCGAGUUUGAUUUCUUCCCUGUUCAUUUGCUCUAAGCGUUAGUUUAAACCUCGAGAAUCGUUCUGUUUUAAAAUAACGUCCGACUUUCAAAAUUGUUUAUUAGGUCAGUGACGUGUAACGUGUGUGUGUGUGUGUGUGUGUGUGUGUGUGCGUGGAUGCGUGCCAGAAAUGGAGAGGAGGCAGACGCACAGAGAGUAAUGCAAAAGAAACGAAGUGAGGUGGCUCAUUCAUUGCUGAGGCACGCGUUGAUAUAAAACUUUCUACAGCGUUUUAACAAUUUUGAUCCGUGCUUAAAACACCCCCAAAUCACCGAGCUGUGGUCACUCAGCCUUCUCCAAAGCAGGUACAUCUGUGCGUCCCAGCUCCUCGAACGACCCAUCUGGAAUUCAGGUUAUCCGUCGUUUAUCCGGAAGUUCGAAUAUGUUUUCUGUAUUGGUGAUAAGAACGCUGAAUUAUUAUUUUAUGGUCCCACUGUUUAUUUAACUUUCUAAUUUUGUUAGAGCACAAUUCAAUGUGUUUGCGCGGGACACACGAACUCUUUCCUGUUUUAUUUUUAUGUCCACUGAGGUGCGUGUGAUUUAUUCAUUUAUUAAUUAAAAAUGUAAUGAUUACGUGACCAACGCGUGGAAACAAAUAACACAUUUAAUUCAUACGUUGCGACUCCACAGUGGGCCCGUGGGGUGGAUGUUACACUGGGCUUAGGUUGCGGUGUUUUCAUGAAGCUCACCGAUAUUAGACUAAUCCUGUGUAACUCUCCAGUCCCCAGUUGGAGCUGCGCUGUUCCUGCGAACUGCUUCACUUCUUUCUAAAAAUAAUAUGCGGGGAAAUAAAUCUGCGAUGACACGUUGGACUUUUCUGAAGUUAAAGCGGCCUCUAUAAAAGGCACUCGCUUUGGGAUCUUAUAACAGUGGCCGUGGGUGACUGUUGUGCGCGUUUAAGCUCCUAAAUAAGAUCAGCUAUCGCAAUAUUGAUUAUUAGACAAGUAAACCGAACUCAUCGGGUUUUCACACGUACCCACUCACCUCUGGUCCCAUGCGGUUGUGUGUGUUUGCGUGUGUGUGCGGUGAAGGUAAGACGUGCUUCGCCCCCGCUUUGUGCCGCUUCUGCCUUUACGCACGGUCGCAGCCUCCUCCGCGGUCGCACGGCGCGACAGGGUUCAGGCAGCUCGCUGCACGGGGUGAGUCCACAUUUUCUCGUGUCGCGUUGGUUUUUCGCGUUUGUUUGGGAAGGAUCGGCCAAGAUUAAAGUCGAAACCACAGUACGCGUGUACUUUUCGAAAGUUAUGUGCGCGCAUACUCGCGCGCGCUCCAUGGUGGAUAUUUAUCGCUUUUAAAUGUGACGUUUCGGUUACGUAAAUCAUCUGGGUUUAAUCCAUUAUCUCACUCGAACAAUAACCGCGACUUUAAAUUUCUAUAUUGAAACAGCGACGUGGACUUCGCCACAGUCCACAAUGGGCUUCACCGAAUUUCCGCUGGACGCGUCGGGUUGAGUAGAAACAGGGGGAGGUUUAGCGCACGGCUAAUGUGAUUUAUCCCUGAGCCGCCGUGCGCUUUUUUUCCUCCUCCCUUUUCUUCAUGUGCUUCUUCCACAACGACCGCUGCGGCGCGGAGAGGCGGCGUGGCGCACCGGCUUCACGGCACACUGGCUUCUAGUAGAGUGGAUAAAGAGCCAAGGGGGAGGGACGGGCAGACGGGGAGGGAUGAAAGGGAAAAAGAACGUCACGGUAUUCUAAACUGUCCCCUAAUCUGUAAACUGUGGCACAGCCCCCGACUUUUUGCACGGCAGCAAGACGCACGCGCGUGCUGAUAAAUAAGAGAAGUUGAUCGAGCGAGUCACCAAGUCAGAGUGAACGUAACACAAAACACACGAAGAACAAUAAUCACUUCGUCAACUUCAAACUAUUUCCGGUUACAAAAGCUAUUGUUAAAACUAAAAAAACAUUUUUUAUGGCUGUAAGAAUAAUACAUUUCUAAGCAACAAGUGACACUUUAUCGUUUUUUUUAAAACGGUAAAACAGAGCAUCUCUAUGUUUAGGCAACUAGCAAAAAAAAAAAAAAAAAAGUCUGGCAUCUUUGUUAAAGUUUCUUCCUCCCUGAAAUUCUGUGACCCUGUUUUUGAUUUGCUUCCUCUCAGCCCCAGGCCAUGCCCGUGGCUGUCAGCAAAGCCCUCCCGCCUUGCCCACUACAAUUUAGCGCAAACUGUUUCAUUGUGUACUGUUAGGAUUUUGUGCAUAUCCCAAUGACUCCCAGGGACCGUCUCCUCCAGUCCGCUGGUGAUUUUAUUACCUCAAGAAUACAUGCAUUAAUAAGAAACAGGCAUCAAUUUGCAUGGAGCGAGAAAGACCUUGAAGGAGGCCAGGGUUAGACUCUGCUCAAAUAAAUGUAAAAGUUACAAACUCCCACCAACAACUAGACGAGUCAUUGACAAGAGGAGCUGAAAAAGAUCGAGUGGAUGCUCUCUGUCUCCCCCCCCCCCCUUCCAUCCCUAGCGUCCUCCCUCCCUCCUGCCUCGUUGGGUGUGCUACGAGCUAGCAGGGUUGAGAGGGCAAGUGCUGACCAGCCCUCUUUCUUUCUCUGUCUGCUGUUACUAGGUCACCGCACACACACACACACACACACACACACACACACACACACACACACACACACACACACACACACACACACACACACACACACCUCUCUCCUUGCGGUCAGUGUUGCCACUAGGGAGAAGGGUAAUUUAGGCCCUCCUUGAUGUAGCCUAUUCAUCACUGUCCCGUGGUCCGCACUUCAAAAUUAAAGUCUGAUCUACAAAGUUAGAGUGAAAUGACAUAAAAAUUGGCAGAGGUCACAGAAGGCCGGGUCAGUGGCAACACAAAGCCGCGUUGAUAGAAGUGCAGUUUCAUUUAUGAUUUUUCUGUAUAAUUUUCAGACAACAAUUUCACCAAUUAACAGAAUAAACCCGGAGACGUCGGUGCCAGUGAAGCCGCAGAGAGAGAUUUUAUCUAGUAAAAGCAAAUGCAAUUUGCCAGUUCAUGCGAUAUUAUAAGAUGCCAUAUCUGCUAAUGUUCUUGUCCAAAUUCAAUUUGGAAAUAGGUGAAGACCCAGCACCUCAAAGUAGAAAUGAAAAACUCGAUCAUACAAAGAAAUGACACAUGAUUGUCUCAAUUAUGGUCAGAGUAAUAAAAUCAAAGCACCCGGCCCUGUGCUCGUGUUAUUGUCUUAAUUUAAUGAAAAUCACGCAAACUAGAUUACAAAAUAAAAUCACAUAAACUAGCGAAAAGAAAGGUUUAAAAAUAUGUGGAGGUUAAUCCUUCAAAAUGGCCAUAAAUCCUGAUCAUGAAGGAUCCAGUCGUCAACCAAAAACACAUUUUUUCUGACAUUAUAAACGCAAUAAAAUGUUAAAAUGUAUAGAUUGCGACAACAAGAGGUAGAUGCAAAUUAUACAAUAUAGUCCAAUGCAUUUGCCAAAAUUCAUGCUUCCAGUCCACAUGAUGUGAUGUUGAUCAUAUAACUUCCAGACUCAGAUGUUUAUAGGAAGCGUAGGUAUUUCUGAGGAAACGUUUGUGUGUAAUAUCUGAUGCCUGUCUGAUGAGUUACACUGUUUAUCAGUGUGCGGUGUGAUGGCACACUGCUGAGUGAGUCACUGCUUCCUCCUCGCUUUUAUGUGUGUGUCUGUGUGUGCGGAAACCACGCUGACAGCUGCAGCUCAUUACAGGCACUAUUACUGAUGGGGACUGCUGGGGGAAAUUCCUUCUUCCAUGGAGCAAAACUACCCUGUUUACCGCACACACACACACACACACACACACACACACACACACACACACACACACACACACACACACACACACACACACACACACACACACACACACACACACAGUCCAUGCUUAUUCAGAAACUGGACUUGCGAUGUCUGGAGCUGAAACAAAAAAACAAUUAAAUAUAAACAUUUACCAAACAUUUACUUUUGGCUGAAACAUUAAAAACGCUACUUUCCAUAAAAGUUGAUGAAAUAUGUCACAGCCUUCCAGCUGCUGGAGAAUAAAAGACGUAUUUCACCUGCGUGUGUGAAGUAUACCUGUGUACAUGUAGCAGCCGGUAAAACACACACAGACACACAGGCGGCCACAGGACAAGAAAACUUAAGAGGAGAUGAGAUCACCGGUACACUCUAAGCCUUGCCCUGCUGGCAAACAGCAGCCUCCCUCUCUGUCUGACACACAAGCACACACACACACACGCGCACACACACACACACACACACACACACACGGUAUACAGUGUCCAGUGACGGUAAUGAGAGGGCUGAAAGCCAGACACACAUGUGCUAGAGUCAUUAGGGAAGACUUCAUAGCUACACUUCAGGCCACUACACUCCAUUACAGUACUUCAUUGGUUACACUGCUUGAAAAUAGUGGUUUCUAAAAGUCCGGUUCAGGGACCACCAGCGCUUCUUUGAGCCCCAGGGAGUUCCUCUUUAAAUAAAAAAGUAGGCCAGUUACCUGCUUUUCUUUAUUUACUUAAAGCGCUGCUAGGCAAAUAUACACACAUCUCAUUUUCAUUAUCGUGUCUGAUUGCGUGACUCCACAAAGAGACAUUCUGAUUUUUUAUAGUACACAUUCAAAGUUUAUAGGUAAAAGAAGCUUGGGACCAGUUGCUGGUUCAAUCCACCUUGGUCCAGAAGUAUUGAACUUGGUUGGGACAAAAAAAAGUAAGUGCUGACCAAUGAUGCUGUGGUGCCCUUGAGCAAGGUACCAAAUCCCAGCUGUCCUAAGGGAGCUGCCCAGCGAUUACUGAUUAUACUGUACAAAUCUACAGAGGGUUGAUUGAAAUGAACAGAUGCAAUCAGGCUUCUGGCUUAGACGGACGCAACACCCUUUUAUGUUUCAGAAAAUAAGUGACAUUUGUUACAUCUAUUGCAUUAAUGAAGAAAGUGACAUCUCAUUAUUAGUUCCUCCAAACAUCUAAACUUUAGUUUCUGGCAUUAGAAUUGUAAUGAAAAAUGAAAUCUAAGUCACAUAAAGUUAUCAACUACAUGUAGACUUUCACUUUACAAAGUUUACACCAUAAACGUAAUUGAGCACAUCAUCAGCAUAAAGACACACUCUGGGCUAUUUUUAGCCAUUUUACUUGAUGAUAAGACUUGGGUUGUAUAAAACGCAGACAUAUCUUAAUAAAAAUGGAACCAUUGUCCAUUGUGCUAGUUGGAAAAAUACUGCCUUUAAUCAUUGAAACAUAUUUUGCUGAUUUGCCGUAGCCUUGUUAGCUGUGCUAUGGCCUUGAAGUUUUCUCCCUUCUGCUCUGCAAGAAAGAGGGAGUACCGGUGUGUACAGCACGGUACCAUCUUUAUCUAAUGCACUUGGUGCAAGAAAUAUUUUCUCAUGUAUUGUGUGACUUUGCAUCUCCCUGGGUGGAAACAAACUAUUUUAUGAGCUGUACUCUUUUCUUUUCUUCAGCGAGAGGAAGUUGCCUACAUUAGCUGCGUACUGCUCACUCCUUGCAAGCAAAAUCCUGAAGAACUGAUUGUGUCCCUUUUAUUUAAGAUUUACAAAGGGAACUCACAAUUUCCCUAACAGUGCUCUUGUCACCUGCAUUUAUAUAUCUUCUAAAGCAAUACAGUGUUUUUAUUAAUUAGCCCCAACGUGGAGAUCCCAUGGCCUUUGUCAGCUGUACCCUCUUCCCUUUAACCACACCGCUAAAAACACUGCGCAGACAGAGAAAUACAGACAGUAUCAUGACAAGCAUGAAAAGGGAAAAUCAGACUACAUGAGAGGAACUUUGGAGAAAGAAGGAAGUCGAGCUGAAGACAAGGGGAUGAGUCAUCCUACCAUGUCUGACUGAAGGCACAAUUAAAGCAGAUAGAACAUCUAGUGCUACUCCUGAUUUAAAAUACCCUGUAUGUGAUAUUAGUGAACCGAUGGCUGAUUAGUCUGUUGGUUGUUUAAGGCUGUUUUCACAGUUUUGCUAAACUACUAUAUGUGUACGUCUAAAUAAUGAUGUAGUAAAUUUCCAUCACAAAAAACAUGGUUAUUAUUGGGAUGAAUGAAAAAACAGGGUGGUUGUUUUUUUUCUUUCAUUCCAAUAAUAACCAUGUUUUGCUGGAUCAGUUUACAGUAGUUUGUUUAGCAACACUCAGCAAGACAAUACCCCCACCCCCCUCCCCUCCCAUUAGAUGAUUCAUAAAGUACACUCUGAUCCACUAAUAUGAGUUCAAAUUACCUUAUGUUAAAGCCAAAUAUUAAUAAGAAUAAUAGAAAAAUCAAAUAUAUUUAUAAUGACCUCUGUUAUGAAAUACACUUUGGUCUCUUUUCAGUCUUUCUUGCCAAUAAAUCCGUAUUUUAGUAACAGUGUUUUUGCAUAUUAAAUCACUACCUAACCAACGACCUUUGCACAAACAUGAAUGCAUGUUUUGCCAGACAUUAAAGUGUCAGUGAUCAUAAAAAAAGGAAGAAAGGCAGACCCUGUGAUGGAGUGGUGGCUCGUCCAGGGUGAACCCGCCUCUCACCCAGAUGACAGCUGGGAUGGGCUCCAGCAUACCCACAACUUUUACAAGGACAAAGUAGUUCAGCAGAUGAGUGAGUGAUAAAACGGCACAUGGGUGUCUGUGUGAGAAUGAGUCAUAGGUCACGUCGUAAAAUAAAUUAAUUAUAUAUACACACAUGUCGGCCAUUUCAACAUAAAACAGUGCGCGCGCGCACACACACACACACAAAAUCUUUCUCUGCCAAAAUAUCCAGUCAUGCGUUACAACUGCCAGAUAAUUUGAUGAGACAACGUUCGGUAAAUGUUUGGGAAGUUUCUGGUUUGUUUACUUCACUCUCAGCAUGUUUAAUAACUCAUUAAACAAAACUAUAAUCUUUUUCUAACACACUUCUGUGGCCCCACAACACACGACUCUGGAACCGCACUUGGGUCGAUGUGUGACGAUUCAAUAUGUUGGGAAAAGGUGGGAAGAAAGGGUUGUGCUUUCCUCCUCCAUCUCACAAAGACUCACCUACGUUACUGAACCUAUUGCGAUCAUUGUGUAAUCAUUAUAUCAUAAAUAAAAUGUGCCACUUCACAUAACCGUUGUAUAGAGCUACUUGCAGAAAUAACCAACAGAUGCUAAAAGUUCCCUUGAACUCAGGAGUGAUUCUCACAAAACAUCAGCAGCCAGUGGUUUUUAUAAGCUUAACACAUGAACAAGCUCUGACUCCGUCUGGCCUGAAGUGGGGCAUUGUCCAUAUUCCUGGUUUGAGGUCGCUCUGUAAAGGAAACGCCGUCACUGCGUCUUUAAUUGCACAGGAAAGCUGCGAGAUCGCACGACUACAGGAAGCGCGGGUCAGAGUUUAACCAGUCGGCCUGUGAGCUGCUGGUGCUUGUUUACAGCUGGCACUUGGAUUACGCAGCCACUUCCCUUUGUUCUUUUAAAAAAAACAUGAGGUUUCAUGAGGUUUCCAACCUGUUCUUACGUCUAAGCACUUGCGCUGCAUUGUUAGAUCUCUGCAAGAACAGUUGUUGAGCCAGUAGAAGCGGUGUUGGAGCCUUGCACAUCGUUACAAGCCGCAGCUUUACUUUAACAUGCAGCCCACCCAAGGUCCCACUUCGUCUGCUGAAUGUAACCCCAUAUUUCAUAAACAGAUGUAGGGCUUUGCCAGAAUAAGGAAACAUAUUGGCCUCCUUCUCCUGUCCCAGUGGCCAAGACUGAUAUCCAUUUAAUUCAGAUACAUUUCUCUAUAUACAGUACAUUCUUAGGAAAUGGCAAUAAUAUCUUUACACAACAGACUGUUGCACCAAAUCUCUAUAGUUCUACAGAGGGUUAGAUGGUUCAAGUGAUUAUGAACAAACCCAUUAGUUUCGAACAUAUUGAGUUUCAGUAUUACACAGUGUUAUUAUGAUAUUACUGGCUAUACACAAAUAGAGCGCCGUGUCAGAGAAACACUCAGGAGUCAAACGCGGUUCAUUUCAGGAUGUAUAGCACAUGCGUGGGAGCCACUCCGCACUGAAAGCUCAAGUGGAUACAAAUCACGGGCCGAUACUCUUGUCAUGUCAGCCCAAAGCCACUUCAGCUGUGCCUGGUGUUUAUCUUACGGUGACAUUCUCCCUGUGUGUUAUGCUGAAGCCUCCUUCCUCCACCCACUUCCACCCCGAUGCUGCCUUGUAAAAAGAUACCUGCUAAAUGGAGAAGAGAGACGGAUGAACUUAAUGGCGGUGGAGGGAUGCGCCGAAAAGGGAGGCUGAGCGGGCGAGAGGGGGUGGGGGGGGGGGUAUAUGUCCUCUGUGACAAUGCUGAUGCAAUGAUGAUCCCGCUUAUGGGAAACCCGUGACACGAGGAAUGUUUGAUACUGCACAGAUGUAUUAACUCGUCUGUGUGCGUGAGGAACAAGCUGAGUGUGUAUGAAGGUUAUGGAGUCUAUUAUUAUUUUUAUAGAUUUUAUAGAAAACCUUCAAUUACUAAUAACCAUGCAACAUAUGUCAAUGUUAUGUCAUGAAUGAUAAUGUAUAUACAUAGAAAAUAGAAAGGAGCACUGUCAGUAAAAACAGGCUUUUGUCUUGUACUAUACACACCUCAGCAUUUUGAUCCAUCAUUAAGACUUGUGUCCACGCCUCAUCACUCACAGCGGAUGCGAUACUGUGCUAAGUGCGGUGCAGCCGAAGGUGCGACGGCCGUGGAUUCCAGGGCGCCCUUAGGCAAGCGCAAAGAUGCUAGCGGACGUGACACGCGGCAUCUGCUCCACGCCCGUCUGAAUUAGCGUCUCACCGCUGGGCUGAGACACUGUGCCCCACCUCGGGGGAGGUGAGAGGAGAGGUCAAAAUCGCUCAAAUGAUUUCCCACUUUUGCGGAGAAGAGGAGUCGUGGCUUUAGGAUAUUUGGUGACACGGAGGAUUUUCUUCACGCGUCCCCCGCGCGUCUCGAACGGUGGAAUGUGGCUUUUCGUCGGCGGUACUGGUGACUGAUGGCUGAUGGAAUAGGAAGCGGCGUCCGCGACAUUAAACGAAUGCUGACCAGCAGAUCACCAUGAAGAGUUCUCCGAAGCUCUCAGACGUUGGCAGACGUGUUCUGUCUGUUGCGUAAAGAGCCUCGGCCUCAUGUGUGGGUAGUCCAGGGGAGUUUGUAAAAGCUUUGCCUGUGAAGUGUCAAACUCCCAGAGAGAGGAUCAAGUGCUAAGCUGGGGAAUCAGGAGCUCAUUGCCUUGUGUGUGUGUGUGUGUGUGUGUGUGUGUGUGUGUGUGUGUGUGUGUGUGUGUGUGUGUGUGUGUGUGUGUGUGUGUGUGUGUGUGUGUGUGGUUUUAGGGAUUGAGGAAGUGAUAUAUCCCUUUAUCUGUUACUGAGGAUGACCACAAGCCUGACCGGUGUUGGCUUCGCAAGGCUAAAUCCACAUCCUCAAAGGACGGCUCCGUUGGGGGGGGUUGUAGUGUGCAAAGGUGCAUCAGAGAGCAAGGUCUCCUCAGGGGGAAGCAGAAAGUCAAAGGUCAAACACACAUGGGGGGUGAGUGAGCAACCCAGCAAGCGGAACAGAAACCUUCUGCACUCAAGAAAAACACAGCAAAGACACUGGCCUGUGUGUGUGUGUGUGUGUGUGUGUGUGUGUGUGUGUGUGUGUGUGUGUGUGUGUGUGUGUGUGUGUGUGUGUGUGUGUGAGUGAGCAAGUAAGAAUGUGCGCCAGAGAAAAUAAAAGAAAGAUACAAUAAUAAUAAAAUCUUACUAUUUGCACAGACAGAUGAGAUUAUGUUUGUAUGUAAACAGUGCAGUUUGGAGUGAAAGAAACAUAUACAGUUUAUGUGUUAGGGGAAAAUGUUGACGAGUGGUUUAGUAACAUUUACUUUUUUUUUUUUUUACAUUUUACAGCAACAUUUUCUGACAGAAAAGUAUAAUGAUAAAAACUUUAUUAUUGAAUACUGUAAAUAUAUAUUGUACAUAUGGGCUUAUCAUGAGUGAAAAGGUUUGACACCUUGUGCAAUAUGAAAUUAUUAAUUAUUAUAAAUUAAAACUUAAAAAACUAAAUAUUACCUUUACAUCAAAAUGAAACUAAUCUAUAACUUUUGUUUUGUUUUUCAUUUCAAAAUAUGUCGCCUAAAAAUAAUGAAAUAAAAAUAUUAAGAAUGAAUGAAUACUUUCUUCUGUAUAUUUACUGAAAUACAAUUCAAACGUAUUGACUGUGAUUUAAUUUAUAUUUCAACACCCUGGAAGACAAUAGUGUGCUGCUCAUAAAAGGCACAGACGCAGUCAUCAGCCUCCUCCAUGAUGGUCAGUCCUCAUGUCCACACUUGAUCUGCUUCUGUGUGUUUGUUACUUUGAUGCUUUACAGAAUCAAAACGACACCAGCUCCUCGCACCAUUUACACCACUAAUCUUGGUCAUGGGAGAAGCUAAUGUGUUAAUACCUCACCAUGGUUACCAUAAAGUCCAUCUCUAAAACCUGCCUCGACCUUCUCUUCACUCUGGUUUCAGCUUAAUGAACGCUCGCGCCGUCAACCUGCGCUUUCGUGAAACAGCCAUGACUCUAAUUUACCGUUGGAACAAGAUGACAUGAGAUUUCUCUCUGCAGGAAAAUCAGGAUGUAGUGUUGAUGUGAUUUUAGCGCUCCAUACCUAUUAAAGUGUGGUUUAUGGUGUUGUAGCAGGAAGCAGCACAUGUCAGGCAGGAGGUGGUGGUGGUGGUGGGGGGGGGGGGGGGGGGGGGGGGGGGGGGGGGGACUUACCUGACAGCACAGGGGGAAAUGUGUUAAAAGCCAAACCGUGUUUGUCGUCAUGUUUUCACAGCUACUAUCUAAACUACAACAAAAGUCAGUGUUAGGAAGAGGACAAACCAAAGGAUGACUCAGAUUGGUGCUUCGUGGUCACAAUCCUGUCUCUGUGGUGUGUGCGUGUGUCUGUGUGCAUCUGUGCACAUGUGUGUGUGUGUGUUUUUUUCCCCCCAGGUUAAUGCGAGAUCGUUGAUUAUGGCCUGGUGCAUUUGAACGUGAUUGGAGCCAACUAUCUAUGCAGGCAUGAGAGACACAGGCACAUCCUGGACAAAGCAAGCACAUCAAAGCUAAGUGGCCAAGCAGAAGCAUUCAUCCAUCUUUUCUCAUCUCUGUCUGAGUCAUACACACACGUCCGCAUCCUCCCUCCCUCCCUCUCUCUCUCUCUCUCUCUCUCUCUCUCUCUCUCUCUCACACACACAACACACUCACUCACUCACUCACUCACUCACUCACUCACUCACUCACUCACUCACUCACACAUCAGUUAUAUCUUUUAGGCUGGAGAGGAGAGGGGGCUGUUGGCAGUAGAAGGGCUUGACAGGAGAAGAAAGGAAGUACACAGGAAGUACAUUAGUUAUCACUCCCAUGUCUCCUCCACCUUUUCACUUCUUAUCACCACUCCACGUCUCAGGCCGCUUCUCCUUCCCAUCCCUCCCUUACCCCCCCCCCCCCCCCCCCCCCCCCCCCCCCCCGUUUCUCGUUCUGUGUCUUUCUUCCUCGCAUACACGCCUCUAAAAAUGACUUCCGUGCUCCACUUUAGUGUCGGGCCCUGGGAUCUAGAUGACACUUGGCAAGCCGCAUAAGCCGCAAGACAACUGGAUGAAAUAUUUAAAUGAAAGACGGCAGGGGUAGGAGAGGUGAAGACAGAGGAAGGGGAGAAGGGGCAGAAUGCAGGAAGACGGAGGGGACGAGGACGAGGGAAGGACAGAGUGUGACGCUCAGAUGUGGAGCAGAAUGUGAGGGAUUUCUUUUCUCGGCCAAAGAGAGGGCCAUGUGACACGACGCGUGGAUGAAUCAGCUUUCAUCUACAGUACGGUACGAAACCGCCUGAAGAGACGUAGACCAGUGUGAGAUCACGUUGCUUUAUCUUGGAACCAUCAGCAAGUCUCAGUAAAGAGUCUCGGCGCUUUGGGUUUAUUGCCAGCUUCACUCCUCGGAGGCUGAUAAUGAAUCGACAUCGCGGGCAAAAGCAUCUGACGUUGUUGGAGUGAUGCUGGUACUUCCGUCAGGUUAAUUAGGUUCUGUCAUUUUUGUCAACUAAAAUUCAUAUUAGCAGCCUGUUGUAAGUAUGAGUGUUACUAUGGCAACGUGUUCUAAAGCGUGCUGACACCAUAGCUGCUUGUUAACUAUAUAGGAUGUAUAUAAUUAGCUGACUACAACAAACUUAUGUGUACAAAACUUUUUUAAAGUAGCUGAGGCUGAUGGGAAUUUAUGAGCUACCAUAAGUCAAUACUUUCACCUAAAAUGUAUAUUUCAUGCAAAUACAUUUUUGUAUGUAAGGUAAUGGCUGCCAGAGUAAACUAUUUUAACACAAUGACACUAUGUUAUUAAGUCUUUAGCUGUUCCAACAUUAAAAAAAGGUUUUGUGUGUUAUUUUGUAUUUGACAAGCAACACUUGACUUCACUUAACAGAGGAAGCAGUGACCUCAGGUAAAACAGGACCAAACCCCAAUGUUGUCUUGUCCUAAUCUUAAAAGGCAGGUUCACAGGUUCAGUAGCUUCCUUCUAGUUGUAGUGUCCAGAGAACAUCUCAUUGAAUGGUGUUAAACCAUUAAUUUUGAUAUAUUUAAGCAUAACUUUGGCUGAGCUAAUAGUGAUUCGGUUCAGACGAUCUCAUCUUGCACCGCGGAGCCAAACUUGAGUCUCUUUGUUGACACCCUGCGACCCAAACACCAUCUUGCAACUAUUAAUAAAUAUGCUACUUUUUUAAUUCAUCCAGUUUUUAUCUUCCAGACCCGAUCAACAAUGCAACAGUUGAACUGCAAAGGAACAUGAAUGCUACUAAUAUUCUAGCACCUUAAAAUAAUACUAAAAAUUUAAGAAUAAUGAAAGAUAAAUACCAAAGUGAUCGGUUUCACCUUAACUCACAUAAAAAUCCACUGUCACUGUCACUAUGUUUUUUUUUUUUUCACACACAUAUAAACCAUAUAAACCGUCUUGAUUUUUCUUCUCUUCAUUCUGGUUUCGAUGAAUGCUCAUUUAAGGUUCAUGAUUCUUCAUCUGCGUGUGUGCGUGUCGUCGUGAUAAUGCAUAAUUAUUGUGUACUGUGCAUCUCAUUGCCCGCCUGCAUGGGUUUGCAUCAUUGAUUCAGAUGAUUUCCAUCACAGAUGCUGUAACUGAACUAUGUUUAUUACAAAGCUCUGCAUUCUGUUUGCAGAAUAAAAUGUAGACAAUUUAUAUCAAAUAAAUUCAAUAAAAAUGAAGAGUCCUAAGUUAUAAAA
Molecule: long non-coding RNA, 15415 nt
Organism: Betta splendens (Siamese fighting fish)
Lineage: Eukaryota; Metazoa; Chordata; Actinopteri; Anabantiformes; Osphronemidae
Exons: 2
Source: RefSeq, a predicted model, not a curated record